UGGGGAAUUUUGGACAAUGGGGGAAACCCUGAUCCAGCCAUCCCGCGUGUGCGAUGAAGGCCUUCGGGUUGUAAAGCACUUUUGGCAGGAAAGAAACCUCAUGGGUUAAUACCCCGUGAAACUGACGGUACCUGCAGAAUAAGCACCGGCUAACUACGUGCCAGCAGCCGCGGUAAUACGUAGGGUGCAAGCGUUAAUCGGAAUUACUGGGCGUAAAGCGUGCGCAGGCGGUUCGGAAAGAAAGAUGUGAAAUCCCAGAGCUCAACUUUGGAACUGCAUUUUUAACUACCGGGCUAGAGUGUGUCAGAGGGAGGUGGAAUUCCGCGUGUAGCAGUGAAAUGCGUAGAUAUGCGGAGGAACACCGAUGGCGAAGGCAGCCUCCUGGGAUAACACUGACGCUCAUGCACGAAAGCGUGGGGAGCAAACAGG
Molecule: ribosomal RNA, 429 nt
Filed under: Acidobacteriota bacterium
Lineage: Bacteria; Pseudomonadati; Acidobacteriota
Description: Acidobacteria bacterium partial 16S ribosomal RNA
Rfam family: Bacterial small subunit ribosomal RNA
Source: RNAcentral